This 438-nucleotide ribosomal RNA is filed under the name uncultured bacterium. RNAcentral's name for it is "partial 16S ribosomal RNA". It matches the Rfam family "Bacterial small subunit ribosomal RNA", at positions 29 to 507 of the family's 1533-position model. The record is from RNAcentral.
AGCGAACGCUGGCGGCAGGCCUAACACAUGCAAGUCGAACGAACUCUUCGGAGUUAGUGGCGGACGGGUGAGGAACACGUGGGAACGUGCCUUUAGGUUCGGUAUAACUCAGGGAAACUUGUGCUAAUACCGAAUGUGCCCUUCGGGGGAAAGAUUUGUCGCCGUUAGGGCGGCCCGCGUCUGAUUAGCUAGUUGGUGAGGUAAAGGCGCACCAAGGCCACGAUCGGGAGCUGGUCAGAGAGGAUGGUCAGCCACACUGGUACGGAGAUACGGCCCAAACUCCAACGGGAGGCAGCAGUGGGGAAGGUUGCACAAUGGGCGGAAGCCUGAUGCAGCAACGCCGCGUGGGGGAAGACGGCCUUCGGGUUGGAAACCGCAUUCCCCUGAGACGAAGCGUGAGUGACGGUAAUCGGUAAAGAAGCACCGGCUAACUACGUG